This 377-nucleotide ribosomal RNA is filed under the name uncultured eukaryote. Its description in RNAcentral is "partial 18S ribosomal RNA". It matches the Rfam family "Eukaryotic small subunit ribosomal RNA", at positions 592 to 976 of the family's 1831-position model. The record is from RNAcentral.
CAAUAGCGUAUAUUUAAGUUGCUGCAGUUAAAAAGCUCGUAGUUGGAUUUCGGGUGGGAAUGGCCGGUCCGCCGUUUCGGUGUGCACUUGCUACGCCCACCUUGCUGCCGGGGACGUGCUCUUGAGUUCACGCUCGGGACACGGAGUCGGCGAGGUUACUUUGAGUAAAUUAGAGUGUUCAAAGCAGGCCUACGCUCUGAAUACAUUAGCAUGGAAUAACACUAUAGGACUCUGGCCUAUCUUGUUGGUCUGUAGGACCGGAGUAAUGAUUAAGAGGGACAGUCGGGGGCAUUCGUAUUUCAUUGUCAGAGGUGAAAUUCUUGGAUUUAUGAAAGACGAACUACUGCGAAAGCAUUUGCCAAGGAUGUUUUCAUUAA